UACGAAUGGGGCAAGCGUUGUUCGGAAUCACUGGGCUUAAAGCGUAUGUAGGCGGACAUGCAAGUCAGGAGUGAAAUCCCCGGGCUCAACCUGGGAACUGCUCUUGAAACUGCACGUCUAGAAUCCUGGAGAGGUUGGGAGAAUUCCUAGUGUAGAGGUGAAAUUCGCAGAUAUUAGGAGGAAUACCAGUGGCGUAGGCGCCCAACUGGACAGGUAUUGACGCUCAGAUACGAAAGCGUGGGGAGCAAACAGG
RNAcentral lists this ribosomal RNA (253 nucleotides) under uncultured bacterium. RNAcentral describes it as "partial 16S ribosomal RNA". It matches the Rfam family "Bacterial small subunit ribosomal RNA", at positions 524 to 776 of the family's 1533-position model. The record is from RNAcentral.